ACGUAGGGGGCAAGCGUUAUCCGGAUUUACUGGGUGUAAAGGGAGCGUAGACGGCAUGGCAAGCCAGAUGUGAAAGCCCGGGGCUCAACCCCGGGACUGCAUUUGGAACUGUCAGGCUAGAGUGUCGGAGAGGAAAGCGGAAUUCCUAGUGUAGCGGUGAAAUGCGUAGAUAUUAGGAGGAACACCAGUGGCGAAGGCGGCUUUCUGGACGAUCACUGACGUUGAGGCUCGAAAGCGUGGGGAGCCAACAG
This 251-nucleotide ribosomal RNA is filed under the name uncultured bacterium. RNAcentral's name for it is "partial 16S ribosomal RNA". It matches the Rfam family "Bacterial small subunit ribosomal RNA", at positions 525 to 775 of the family's 1533-position model. The record is from RNAcentral.